Molecule: transfer-messenger RNA, 368 nt
Filed under: Thermoleophilaceae bacterium
Lineage: Bacteria; Bacillati; Actinomycetota; Thermoleophilia; Thermoleophilales; Thermoleophilaceae
Rfam family: transfer-messenger RNA
About the family: Bacterial tmRNA, also known as 10Sa RNA or SsrA, is named for its dual tRNA and mRNA-like properties. Its role is to liberate the mRNA from a stalled ribosome.
Source: RNAcentral
GGGGACGACAGGCUUCGACGUGGAAGUUCCGUGGGUGCAGUUGCGAGUCGAGGUCCCCGGUAGGCCUCGUUAAACCACCGGGAAACAAACAAGUGCGGAUCGUAAUCACGAAUUCGCGCUCGCUGCCUAGCCAAACCUAGGUUCGUGAGCUGUCGGCCUCCGCUCGGCCCGUGGCGGAGCAACCGGCAUAAGAGAACGGGCUCGCCCGCCGCGCUCGCCCCCGACGCGGCGGGGACAUCAAGGGGGCUGGUCCCCCGCAACCCUGCCGGCACGGCGAGCGGGAGAUGAGAUCAGAGAGCCGGCUACGCUCGUAGACGCUGUACCCGCUGCAUCCGCGGACGUGGGUUCAAUUCCCACCGUCUCCAUCG